ACUGUGGGGGUUUAGAUUUGACAUUUUCCUUAAAUAGUUUAUAUACUGAACCAUACGUGCCAGAGGAAGGAGGUGCAGAAAUGUUGGGGAAAGUACCAGGAGCUUUUUGUAAGUGAAGCUCAGAUAAAAUAAAGUCAAGGGGUAAACCUUUCUCCCUGCUGU
Tinamus guttatus (white-throated tinamou) is the source of this 162-nucleotide non-coding RNA. The record is from RefSeq and is a predicted model, not a curated record. NCBI's taxonomy places the organism in Eukaryota, Metazoa, Chordata, Aves, Tinamiformes, Tinamidae.